Molecule: long non-coding RNA, 260 nt
Filed under: Monodelphis domestica (gray short-tailed opossum)
Lineage: Eukaryota; Metazoa; Chordata; Mammalia; Didelphimorphia; Didelphidae
Description: lncRNA (ENSMODG00000027339.2)
Source: RNAcentral
UUGUUUUCAGGCACUAUACAUGGCACCCAAUCUUUCUUUCUUUCUUUCUUUCUUUCUUUCUUUCUUUCUUUCUUUCUUUCUUUCUUUCUUUCUUUCUUUCUUUCUUUCUUUCUUUCUUUCUUUCUUUCUUUCUUUCUUUCUUUCUUUCUUUCUUUCUUUCUUUCUUUCUUUCUUUCUUUCUUUCUUUCUUUCUUUCUUUCUUUCUUUCUUUCUUUCUUUCUUUCUUUCUCUUCCUUCCUUCCUUUCCUCCCUUCCUUCCU